GAAAUCGAUCGUGCCUCGAAGUU
This 23-nucleotide non-coding RNA is filed under the name Arabidopsis thaliana (thale cress). The record is from RNAcentral. Lineage: Eukaryota; Viridiplantae; Streptophyta; Magnoliopsida; Brassicales; Brassicaceae.